AUGGCUGUUCAGGGAGUCAGUGCAGCAAUGGCAGGAGGUAUGUCUGCCUUGAUUACUAUGCCAUUGGAUACAAUCAAGACAAGGCUGCAAGUCAUGGACGGAGAUGAGAAUGGCCGCCGUGGACCAACUGUGAUGCAGACCGUUAGAGGUUUGGUUAAGGAAGGCGGUUGGACGGCUUGUUAUAGAGGAUUAGGACCUAGAUGGGCUUCAAUGUCAGUGUCUGCAACAACAAUGAUCACAACCUAUGAGUUGCUUAAACGACUUUCUGCAAAGAGUCAAGAUGUUUUGACAUGA
Molecule: non-coding RNA, 294 nt
Organism: Vicia faba (fava bean)
Lineage: Eukaryota; Viridiplantae; Streptophyta; Magnoliopsida; Fabales; Fabaceae
Source: the annotation of a GenBank genome assembly